This 253-nucleotide ribosomal RNA is filed under the name uncultured bacterium. RNAcentral describes it as "partial 16S ribosomal RNA". It matches the Rfam family "Bacterial small subunit ribosomal RNA", at positions 524 to 776 of the family's 1533-position model. The record is from RNAcentral.
UACGGAGGAUGCAAGCGUUAUCCGGAAUGACUGGGCGUAAAGCGUCCGCAGGUGGCUGUGUAAGUCUGCUGUCAAAGAGCGAAGCUCAACUUCGUAACGGCAGUGGAAACUACACGGCUAGAGUGCGUUCGGGGCAGAGGGAAUUCCUGGUGUAGCGGUGAAAUGCGUAGAUAUCUGGAGGAACACCGGUGGCGAAGGCGGCGUUCUGGACUGCAACUGACACUGAGGAACGAAAGCCAGGGGAGCAAACGGG